GACGAACGCUGGCGGCGUGCCUAAUACAUGCAAGUCGAGCGAGCGGAACUAACAGAUUUACUUCGGUAAUGACGUUAGGAAAGCGAGCGGCGGAUGGGUGAGUAACACGUGGGGAACCUGCCCCAUAGUCUGGGAUACCACUUGGAAACAGGUGCUAAUACCGGAUAAGAAAGCAGAUCGCAUGAUCAGCUUUUAAAAGGCGGCGUAAGCUGUCGCUAUGGGAUGGCCCCGCGGUGCAUUAGCUAGUUGGUAAGGUAAAGGCUUACCAAGGCGAUGAUGCAUAGCCGAGUUGAGAGACUGAUCGGCCACAUUGGGACUGAGACACGGCCCAAACUCCUACGGGAGGCAGCAGUAGGGAAUCUUCCACAAUGGACGCAAGUCUGAUGGAGCAACGCCGCGUGAGUGAAGAAGGUUUUCGGAUCGUAAAGCUCUGUUGUUGGUGAAGAAGGAUAGAGGUAGUAACUGGCCUUUAUUUGACGGUAAUCAACCAGAAAGUCACGGCUAACUACGUGCCAGCAGCCGCGGUAAUACGUAGGUGGCAAGCGUUGUCCGGAUUUAUUGGGCGUAAUGCGAGCGCAGGCGGAAGAAUAAGUCUGAUGUGAAAGCCCUCGGCUUAACCGAGGAACUGCAUCGGAAACUGUUUUUCUUGAGUGCAGAAGAGGAGAGUGGAACUCCAUGUGUAGCGGUGGAAUGCGUAGAUAUAUGGAAGAACACCAGUGGCGAAGGCGGCUCUCUGGUCUGCAACUGACGCUGAGGCUCGAAAGCAUGGGUAGCGAACAGAAUUAGAUACCCUGGUAGUCCAUGCCGUAAACGAUGAGUGCUAAGUGCUGGGAGGUUUCCGCCUCUCAGUGCUGCAGCUAACGCAUUAAGCACUCCGCCUGGGGAGUACGACCGCAAGGUUGAAACUCAAAGGAAUUGACGGGGGCCCGCACAAGCGGUGGAGCAUGUGGUUUAAUUCGAAGCAACGCGAAGAACCUUACCAGGUCUUGACAUCUAGUGCCAUUUGUAGAGAUACAAAGUUCCCUUCGGGGACGCUAAGACAGGUGGUGCAUGGCUGUCGUCAGCUCGUGUCGUGAGAUGUUGGGUUAAGUCCCGCAACGAGCGCAACCCUUGUUAUUAGUUGCCAGCAUUAAGUUGGGCACUCUAAUGAGACUGCCGGUGACAAACCGGAGGAAGGUGGGGAUGACGUCAAGUCAUCAUGCCCCUUAUGACCUGGGCUACACACGUGCUACAAUGGGCAGUACAACGAGAAGCGAGCCUGCGAAGGCAAGCGAAUCUCUGAAAGCUGUUUUCAGUUCGGACUGCAGUCUGCAACUCGACUGCACGAAGCUGGAAUCGCUAGUAAUCGCGGAUCAGCACGCCGCGGUGAAUACGUUCCCGGGCCU
Molecule: ribosomal RNA, 1385 nt
Filed under: uncultured bacterium
Lineage: Bacteria
Description: bacterial SSU rRNA
Rfam family: Bacterial small subunit ribosomal RNA
Source: RNAcentral